Molecule: ribosomal RNA, 42 nt
Filed under: Gjaerumia minor
Lineage: Eukaryota; Fungi; Basidiomycota; Exobasidiomycetes; Georgefischeriales; Gjaerumiaceae
Description: partial 28S ribosomal RNA
Source: RNAcentral
GGCCUNAAAAGGUAGGAUUACCCGCUGAACUUAAGCUUUUAA